This 831-nucleotide ribosomal RNA is filed under the name Dexia tenuiforceps. RNAcentral describes it as "12S ribosomal RNA". The record is from RNAcentral. Lineage: Eukaryota; Metazoa; Arthropoda; Insecta; Diptera; Tachinidae.
AUAUUAAUUAAUUAUAUUAAUAUAUUUAUUAAUUUUUAUUAUUUAUAAUAAAGUUUUAUUUUGGCUUUAAAAUUUGUUAUAAGUUUAAUUUAUAUGUAAAUUUGUGUGUGAUUUUUAUUUAUUUUAAUAGUAAAUGAUUUUUUUUUCAAUAAUUAAUAUUGUUAAUUAAAGAAAUUUAUAAAUAGUAAUAUAUUUAGUAUUGAUAAAAUUUGUGCCAGCAAUCGCGGUUAUACUAAUAAUACAAAUAAAUUUAAUUAGUUAAAGUUAGAUUGAUUAUAUUUAAAUAUUGAUGAAUUUAUUAGGUGAAAUUUUUAAAUUGUUGAAAUUUUUAUAUAGAUAAAUGAUUGAAACUUAAAAAUUUUAAAUAUAAACUAGGAUUAGAUACCCUAUUAUUUAAAAUGUAUUUUUGUUGCUAAGGUAAUAAUAGAGUAUGUUCUUUAAAUUUAAAAAAUUUGGCGGUAUUUUAGUCUAUUCAGAGGAAUUUGUUUUAUAAUCGAUAGUCCUCGUUAUAUCUUUCUUAAUUUUGUUAUCAGUUUAUAUAUCGUUGUUAUUAGAAUAUUUUAUAAAAAAGUUAAUUUUCAUAAUUUUUAAUUUAAAAAUAUAUCAAAUCAAGGUGUAGCUAAUAUUUAAGUAAAAAUGAAUUACAAUAAAAUUAUUUAUAUGAAUAUAAAUUUGAAAUAUUUAUUGAAGGUGGAUUUGAUAGUAAAAUUAUAUAUAAUAAUAAUAAUUUGAUUUUAGCUCUAAAAUAUGUACAUAUCGCCCGUCACUCUUAUAUUAAAAUAAGAUAAGUCGUAACAUAGUAGAUGUACUGGAAGGUGUAUCUAGAACGCA